ACUAGCACAUAGAUGCUCUAGAGCUAGGGAUGGUGGGAGUUGUAGUUCAAAAACAGGUGGAGGGCCAAGGUUUCCCACCCCUGCUCUAGAGUGAGCAAGAGUUGGCGGUGGCCAGGAGUCGGAGGCAGAGGGCCGGUGGGCAAAACCCCACUGGGUGGAGGAGGCAGUGGACAGCCUGGCCCUGGCUGGCCCGCCAGGGUGAGACAGCCUGGCCCAGGGGGAUCCACUAUGUCACAGAAAAGGCUAACAUGACUGCUGCAUUUUAUUGUUUGUUUUUGUUUUUCCCUGCUCUCAAGGCAAAAAGAAUGCUAUCGCAUGGGUGCACAAGAGAAGUAAAACACGAGAACACUGAAGUUUUAAAAAAGAUCUUUCCACCCCUUUCCAAAAGGACUAGACACCCUAGAUUAAAGGGCUUAAUUAGCAGUAGCUGGAACAAGCCUGUCAAAGUCAACUGAAGUCAUUAAUUCCAUUCCCCCAAGGUCCCAAAAUUCAACACAGUAUUCCAAGUGAUGUUUGACCAGUGCAAAAUAGAGUGGAACUAUCACUAUCCAAUGGAUCUCUCCCAAUUUCCUAAAGGAAAAAUCUCCUGAGUUGGGAGAGUCAAGAAGGAAUUCUGCAUAUAUAUUAUACUGUACUUUAGCAGACAGCACCAUAAUCUUCAACAGAGCUGCUAAAGAGCCAUCAGAUGAAACCUCACUGGGGCAAGCAAACAGAAUUAAAGGUGAUUGAGGAGUCACUCUUCUGCCUGUGACACCUACCAGAGAAAGGGCUGUUCCUGCCAUCAACAGCAUGCAGUCUUUUCACUGAUGUGACAACGGCUGGUGGUGUUCCUCUUCAAACAAGUUGUACACCAGUCUGAGACUCUGGACAAGCCCAAUCAGCUCAUUGCGCAUCUACUUUCUUUGCUUCAGCUGCACAUCCAUGAGACCUCUCAUAGGAGUGGUAUGAACUAUGAAAAAGUGCCAUUUGGGAUAGUUUUCUUAAAAUAAAUAGAUUGGGAGUUUGUGUUUGGUUUGGUUUUCUUUAUCAAGCCACAUGCUACAUUGCAGAAGAAAAGCUAUCAUAAAAUAGCCUUAUGAUGUCAUUGUAUGCAUGU
Molecule: long non-coding RNA, 1096 nt
Organism: Hemicordylus capensis (graceful crag lizard)
Lineage: Eukaryota; Metazoa; Chordata; Lepidosauria; Squamata; Cordylidae
Exons: 5
Source: RefSeq, a predicted model, not a curated record